AGGAACAACAGCAGUGGCGGUGGCCAGCUCUGGAGCCCUGGAUUCAGCAGUAGCUACAGAGCUCUCAGUCUGCAGGGGCCUGGAUAUUCCGGGGGCGG
This 98-nucleotide microRNA precursor is filed under the name Canis lupus familiaris (dog). RNAcentral describes it as "mir-8834 microRNA precursor family". It matches the Rfam family "mir-8834 microRNA precursor family". Lineage: Eukaryota; Metazoa; Chordata; Mammalia; Carnivora; Canidae. The record is from Rfam by way of RNAcentral.